This 96-nucleotide non-coding RNA is filed under the name unclassified sequences. RNAcentral describes it as "NiCo sequence". It matches the Rfam family "NiCo (Nickel/Cobalt) riboswitch aptamer". The record is from RNAcentral.
ACAGUACAAUCUGACAGGAGAUAGAUUUAAAAUCUAUUCCGGGCUGUAUACAGCAGCAGAUGAAUUUUGAAUUUUCAAAACAUCUGUGGGACAGAA